RNAcentral lists this ribosomal RNA (504 nucleotides) under Salmonella enterica subsp. enterica serovar Enteritidis. RNAcentral's name for it is "partial 23S ribosomal RNA". It matches the Rfam family "Bacterial large subunit ribosomal RNA", at positions 713 to 1215 of the family's 2925-position model. Lineage: Bacteria; Pseudomonadati; Pseudomonadota; Gammaproteobacteria; Enterobacterales; Enterobacteriaceae. The record is from RNAcentral.
ACCCGAAACCCGGUGAUCUAGCCAUGGGCAGGUUGAAGGUUGGGUAACACUAACUGGAGGACCGAACCGACUAAUGUUGAAAAAUUAGCGGAUGACCUGUGGCUGGGGGUGAAAGGCCAAUCAAACCGGGAGAUAGCUGGUUCUCCCCGAAAGCUAUUUAGGUAGCGCCUCGUGAAUUCAUCUCCGGGGGUAGAGCACUGUUUCGGCUAGGGGGCCAUCCCGGCUUACCAACCCGAUGCAAACUGCGAAUACCGGAGAAUGUUAUCACGGGAGACACACGGCGGGUGCUAACGUCCGUCGUGAAGAGGGAAACAACCCAGACCGCCAGCUAAGGUCCCAAAGUCAUGGUUAAGUGGGAAACGAUGUGGGAAGGCCCAGACAGCCAGGAUGUUGGCUUAGAAGCAGCCAUCAUUUAAAGAAAGCGUAAUAGCUCACUGGUCGAGUCGGCCUGCGCGGAAGAUGUAACGGGGCUAAACCAUGCACCGAAGCUGCGGCAGCGACACU